GAUGAACGCUAGCGGCAGGCCUAAUACAUGCAAGUCGAGGGAGAAUGUUGGAUUCGUCUGACAUGAAACCGGCGCACGGGUGCGUAACACGUAUGCAACCUACCUUUAACUGGGGUAUAGCUCAGAGAAAUCUGAAUUAAUCCCCCAUAAGACUACGACAUGGCAUCAUGAUGUAGUUAAAGCUCCGGCGGUUAAGGAUGGGCAUGCGGUACAUUAGCUAGUUGGUGAGGUAAUGGCUCACCAAGGCUACGAUGUAUAGGGGGUCUGAGAGGAUGAUCCCCCACACUGGUACUGAGACACGGACCAGACUCCUACGGGAGGCAGCAGUAGGGAAUAUUGGUCAAUGGACGCAAGUCUGAACCAGCCAUGCCGCGUGAAGGAUGAAGGCCCUAUAGGUCGUAAACUUCUUUUAUUAGGGAAGAAAAAACGGGAUGCGUCCUGUACUGACGGUACUUAAUGAAUAAGGAUCGGCUAACUUCGUGCCAGCAGCCGCAGUAA
Molecule: ribosomal RNA, 498 nt
Filed under: uncultured bacterium
Lineage: Bacteria
Description: partial 16S ribosomal RNA
Rfam family: Bacterial small subunit ribosomal RNA
Source: RNAcentral